CCUACGGGAGGCUGCAGUGAGGAAUAUUGGUCAAUGGGCGCGAGCCUGAACCAGCCAAGUCGCGUGAGGGAAGACGGUCCUAUGGAUUGUAAACCUCUUUUGUCGGGGAGCAAAAGACGCCACGCGUGGCGUUCCGAGAGUACCCGAAGAAAAAGCAUCGGCUAACUCCGUGCCAGCAGCCGCGGUAAUACGGAGGAUGCGAGCGUUAUCCGGAUUUAUUGGGUUUAAAGGGUGCGCAGGCGGAAGAUCAAGUCAGCGGGAAAAUUGAGAGGCUCAACCUCUUCGAGCCGUUGAAACUGGUUUUCUUGAGUGAGUGAGAAGUAUGCGGAAUGCGUGGUGUAGCGGUGAAAUGCAUAGAUAUCACGCAGAACUCCGAGUGCGAAGGAAGCAUACCGGCGCUCAACUGACGCUCAUGCACGAAAGUGUGGGUAUCGAACAGGAUUAGAUACCCCGGUAGUC
RNAcentral lists this ribosomal RNA (459 nucleotides) under uncultured bacterium. Its description in RNAcentral is "partial 16S ribosomal RNA". It matches the Rfam family "Bacterial small subunit ribosomal RNA", at positions 338 to 795 of the family's 1533-position model. The record is from RNAcentral.